Molecule: ribosomal RNA, 2210 nt
Filed under: Salmonella enterica
Lineage: Bacteria; Pseudomonadati; Pseudomonadota; Gammaproteobacteria; Enterobacterales; Enterobacteriaceae
Also listed under: 1 other name
Description: partial 23S ribosomal RNA
Rfam family: Bacterial large subunit ribosomal RNA
Source: RNAcentral
AGACCCGAAACCCGGUGAUCUAGCCAUGGGCAGGUUGAAGGUUGGGUAACACUAACUGGAGGACCGAACCGACUAAUGUUGAAAAAUUAGCGGAUGACCUGUGGCUGGGGGUGAAAGGCCAAUCAAACCGGGAGAUAGCUGGUUCUCCCCGAAAGCUAUUUAGGUAGCGCCUCGUGAAUUCAUCUCCGGGGGUAGAGCACUGUUUCGGCUAGGGGGCCAUCCCGGCUUACCAACCCGAUGCAAACUGCGAAUACCGGAGAAUGUUAUCACGGGAGACACACGGCGGGUGCUAACGUCCGUCGUGAAGAGGGAAACAACCCAGACCGCCAGCUAAGGUCCCAAAGUCAUGGUUAAGUGGGAAACGAUGUGGGAAGGCCCAGACAGCCAGGAUGUUGGCUUAGAAGCAGCCAUCAUUUAAAGAAAGCGUAAUAGCUCACUGGUCGAGUCGGCCUGCGCGGAAGAUGUAACGGGGCUAAACCAUGCACCGAAGCUGCGGCAGCGAACGUAUCACCCAAGACAACUUUACGGAGUUGACGAUUGACGGAGCGAAGCGACGUCAAAGCGUUCAUUAAAGUCGAGUUGGCUUAGGGAUACGUUCGUUGGGUAGGGGAGCGUUCUGUAAGCCUGUGAAGGUGUGUCGUGAGGCAUGCUGGAGGUAUCAGAAGUGCGAAUGCUGACAUAAGUAACGAUAAAGCGGGUGAAAAGCCCGCUCGCCGGAAGACCAAGGGUUCCUGUCCAACGUUAAUCGGGGCAGGGUGAGUCGACCCCUAAGGCGAGGCCGAAAGGCGUAGUCGAUGGGAAACGGGUUAAUAUUCCCGUACUUGGUGUUACUGCGAAGGGGGGACGGAGAAGGCUAUGUUGGCCGGGCGACGGUUGUCCCGGUUUAAGCGUGUAGGUGUGUGUUCCAGGUAAAUCCGGUUCACUUUAACACUGAGGCGUGACGACGAGGCACUACGGUGCUGAAGCAACAAAUGCCCUGCUUCCAGGAAAAGCCUCUAAGCAUCAGGUAACAUCAAAUCGUACCCCAAACCGACACAGGUGGUCAGGUAGAGAAUACCAAGGCGCUUGAGAGAACUCGGGUGAAGGAACUAGGCAAAAUGGUGCCGUAACUUCGGGAGAAGGCACGCUGACACGUAGGUGAAGUGAUUUACUCAUGGAGCUGAAGUCAGUCGAAGAUACCAGCUGGCUGCAACUGUUUAUUAAAAACACAGCACUGUGCAAACACGAAAGUGGACGUAUACGGUGUGACGCCUGCCCGGUGCCGGAAGGUUAAUUGAUGGGGUCAGCGCAAGCGAAGCUCCUGAUCGAAGCCCCGGUAAACGGCGGCCGUAACUAUAACGGUCCUAAGGUAGCGAAAUUCCUUGUCGGGUAAGUUCCGACCUGCACGAAUGGCGUAAUGAUGGCCAGGCUGUCUCCACCCGAGACUCAGUGAAAUUGAACUCGCUGUGAAGAUGCAGUGUACCCGCGGCAAGACGGAAAGACCCCGUGAACCUUUACUAUAGCUUGACACUGAACAUUGAGCCUUGAUGUGUAGGAUAGGUGGGAGGCUUUGAAGUGUGGACGCCAGUCUGCAUGGAGCCGACCUUGAAAUACCACCCUUUAAUGUUUGAUGUUCUAACGUGGACCCGUAAUCCGGGUUGCGGACAGUGUCUGGUGGGUAGUUUGACUGGGGCGGUCUCCUCCUAAAGAGUAACGGAGGAGCACGAAGGUUGGCUAAUCCUGGUCGGACAUCAGGAGGUUAGUGCAAUGGCAUAAGCCAGCUUGACUGCGAGCGUGACGGCGCGAGCAGGUGCGAAAGCAGGUCAUAGUGAUCCGGUGGUUCUGAAUGGAAGGGCCAUCGCUCAACGGAUAAAAGGUACUCCGGGGAUAACAGGCUGAUACCGCCCAAGAGUUCAUAUCGACGGCGGUGUUUGGCACCUCGAUGUCGGCUCAUCACAUCCUGGGGCUGAAGUAGGUCCCAAGGGUAUGGCUGUUCGCCAUUUAAAGUGGUACGCGAGCUGGGUUUAGAACGUCGUGAGACAGUUCGGUCCCUAUCUGCCGUGGGCGCUGGAGAACUGAGGGGGGCUGCUCCUAGUACGAGAGGACCGGAGUGGACGCAUCACUGGUGUUCGGGUUGUCAUGCCAAUGGCACUGCCCGGUAGCUAAAUGCGGAAGAGAUAAGUGCUGAAAGCAUCUAAGCACGAAACUUGCCCCGAGAUGAGUUCUCCCUG